CCUACGGGUGGCUGCAGUAAGGAAUAUUGGUCAAUGGAGGCAACUCUGAACCAGCCAUGCCGCGUGCAGGAAGACUGCCCUAUGGGUUGUAAACUGCUUUUAUACGGGAAUAAACCUAUCUACGAGUAGAUAGCUGAAUGUACUGUAAGAAUAAGGAUCGGCUAACUCCGUGCCAGCAGCCGCGGUAAUACGGAGGAUCCAAGCGUUAUCCGGAUUUAUUGGGUUUAAAGGGAGCGUAGGCGGCCAUUUAAGUCAGAGGUGAAAACUUGCAGCUC
Molecule: ribosomal RNA, 275 nt
Filed under: uncultured Pedobacter sp.
Lineage: Bacteria; Pseudomonadati; Bacteroidota; Sphingobacteriia; Sphingobacteriales; Sphingobacteriaceae
Description: partial 16S ribosomal RNA
Rfam family: Bacterial small subunit ribosomal RNA
Source: RNAcentral